Phycodurus eques (leafy seadragon) is the source of this 3412-nucleotide long non-coding RNA. RefSeq lists it as uncharacterized. The record is from RefSeq and is a predicted model, not a curated record. NCBI's taxonomy places the organism in Eukaryota, Metazoa, Chordata, Actinopteri, Syngnathiformes, Syngnathidae. The transcript has 4 exons.
UUGCUAGUACACAUAAUGAACAAAUAUAAAGAUAUUAAAGUGGGGAAAAAAGGGACAUGGAACAUCACUAGUCAGAUAGGAUUUUUUUGUACGCUGAAAGGUCAUACAAUACAUUCCAAAACGAUUCUCGAAAGUGCAGUGCCGAGAACGACGCUACAGUUGCGUUGCAUCACAAUAAUAGAAGCAUCGGGUCCUCGGUGUAGGCGAACAGCAUCAUGGGUAAUUAAUGCGGCGUACUCACUGAACUCUCUCACCGGACAACGCAUACUUUGCAACAACAAGCAGCAAAAGAACAGGUUUGACAGAAGUUACCUUUCCAGAAUCCAUGGCAGCGUCAGUAAGGCAACGGUGUCUCCUUGUUAUUGUUUGUCGGCUUCGUCUUCUUGGUUGAAGUUGAGAAGAAUAAUGGCAAAAGGUCCUCGUCGCCGCUGUUUUAAACGUCAAGCUGCUUAUGACUGUGGCCGUCUUCCAGGAAGCCUUUCCCAGACUGUUAAAAUCUCACGCAGAGCCCUCCGUCGGACAUUGGGGCCCUUGCAAAUGACCCCCCCCCCCCUCACUAGGAUGAAGAUAGGUGCAUUCUGGGAGAAGCUGAAAGUCACGAUACAGGCCAGAAAAAAAAUGCCAUUCAUGUAAAUGUUGCCGUUAACCUUUCCCAUCACCCUCCUGCCAUUGUUACAGCAGUCGGGGACAGAAAAACUCAUUGCAAUGUGGUCAUUUUGCAAAGCUGCUCCACUAUCCAUUGCCGAGCCAUGGGCAAGAGAAUAACAUUAUUACACAAACUGCAAAGCCUAAGCUGUCAAAUGCUGACGGCCUCAUGUCUGUCGGAAUCUGAAAAAGGAAGGUCUCAGUAGAGGUUCCAUUGUGCAAUGGAAAAAAUUAAAUGGCUAAAAGAAACUGAGCUUCUCUCUAUACAACAUUUUGUGGUCAGCACAAGCAGAAGAGGUGAGGAAAGAGUUAAAAUCUUGCACACAUUGUUCAUGACAAAGGGAGAUCAUCUCAACCCACCUCCCCCUCUCUCCUCAUCAUUAUGUCCAUUUGGAAACAUGUCACUCCCGCCCGCUACUUCGACAAAAAACAGACUGUCACACGGCAUUAGCUGUUCGGCCGAGCUCGCCGGACCGUGCGGGCCGAGCCGAGUGAGGUAAGCUUGGAAUGAAGCGACCGGGGGAGGACAUGCAAACCUGCUGUCCUCUCAUUAAACCCUCUGUUGUCCAAUUAUGACUCUCACUGCACUCAGUCAUGAAUCUCAUGAUGAGUUUAUCACCAUCACUAAUAUAUUGCUGGGAAAUGUUUUUUUUUCUUUUGGUUGUUUGUUUGUUUUUUUAAAUAAAAGUCACUUCACACUUGAAAACAUGAUGAUUUCAGACAUUAAAACGGAGUAUUUGCCAUCUAAACAUGAAACUUUGAUGUAAUGUGGGGAAGAUUAGCUACAAACUUGCAAAUGUGCAAAAUUCACGUGACAGGCUGAAAAGUACAAAUUGAAUAAGUUCAUGUUGCUAAUAUUAGCAUCAACAUUCUAGGUCCUUGUUUACAAAAAACGUAUAAAGAUAUUUAUGUUAGGUUAAUUGAAGACUUUCAAUUGACUUUAAUGUUUACACCUACAUUACAUUCAUGAAAAAGUUUCAACACAUUGAGUUGUCUUUGGUCUUUAUGAAAAUGUAUGCCAGAGUACUUGAAAUGUGCAAAACAUGUACUUCAGAUUCGUUAAAGAUACAAAUAUCUUUUUUUUUUAUAGAAACUGUUUAAGUUAAUGUAAAAUUUAGUAAUAUAAAACUUACAUUUCGUAAGCCUUGUAGCAUAUUUGCCCAAGUCAUCUUUAAAAUGUUUUCAGAAAAUGAGAAAAAAAAACAGAGCAAAUUCAACAAACAAGAAGAGUCCAGUUGUCUCGAUUCAACCUUUGCCGAUAACUAUGACCUGCAAAACUGAGAAUUUACAUAGACAUCAAGAAAAAAAUAAAAUAACAUUUUUCGCAAGCACAUUGGUAUUUUUCAAUUGAUAUUGUGAAAAUUAACAAUGACUUUGGCAAUUAUGAUAUUUGGCUAACAAUUUCCAUUAAAUACUUUCAAUUGUCUUUUGAUAUUUAUGAAGACUUGUGUGUUUGGGUACUUAAAAACUUUCAAUUCUCUGUUUAUGAAAACUUGUAAGUUAGGUUAAUUGAUGAUCCAAUUGUCUUUGGCAUGAAGACCCUUGGUUGGGUUCACAGAAAUUUCUAAGUUGUGUGUGUUUACAAACAAUCUAUCCUAUGUUUGAGUACAAAAACAUGUUAGGGCUUUGAUUUUUUUUCCCUUCUUUUUUUACUUGUACGUAUGCAGUAUUUUACAAGUCUUACAAUUACUGAAGAAGUAAGAAAAUACAUUAGGGCUUUGAUUUUGUCGUGUAUGGUAAAUACAGUAUUUUAUAUACACAAAGUAUUAAGUUCAUUUAAGCCUAAGUUGUCUGUUAGUAAAAAUGCACAUUUUCAAGAGCAUCACAGGUCCCCCUGCAAUUUGCAUACCGAGCAAACAGUUCUGUAGAUGACGCAGUCAAAAAUGGGACUGCACUUCAUUCUAGAACACCUACGCGAGGAUCCUGUUUGUGGACUUCACAUUUGCGUUCAACACCAUCAUCCCCAAACUCUUCUCCUCCCAGCUUCUCCAGCUCAGCGUCUUGCAUGCCAUCUGCCAGUGGAUUUACAGCUUCCUGACGGGCAGGACACAGCAGGUGAGGCUGGGGGACACCACCUCAUCCACACGCACCACCAGCACCGGGCGCCCCAAGUGUCCUCUCUCCGCUGCUCUUCUCUCUCUACACGAACGACUGCACCUCAACAAACCUGGCGGUCAAACCUCUGAAGUCUACAGGAAGUGGAGCGGCUGGAGCUUCGGUGCGGCCGACACAACCUGGAGCUGAACACGCUGACUGACUGUAGAGAAGACUGUCGAGAUGAUCGUGGACUUCUGGAAACAUCCUUCACCACAGCUGCCCUUCACGCUGUCCAACUGCCCCGUGUCAACUGUCGAGACCUUCAAGUUCCUGGGAAUUAGUCUCUCAGGACCUGCAGCGGGAGACAAACAUCAACUCCAUCCUCGAAAAGGCCCAGCAGAGGAUGUACUUCCUGCGGCGGUCCCUUGAGGACUUGCAUGCAGGAACUAAGAGAAGAGCAUGCAAAAUCCUCUUGCAUCCUCCACAUCCUGGUCACCUCCUCCUCCAGCUCCUUCCCUCAGGUAGGCGCUAUCGAACAAUGCAAACUAAAACCAGCAGACAUUCCAACAGCUUCUUCCCUCUUGCCAUUAAAUUGCUAGAGGCUAACAGACUGUGUUUUCAUAUCUUAGCGUAUUUACUGUCAAAAUAGCUGUCUAUUGUCGUACUAGUGCAGCUCCAACUCCUGGAGACAAAUUCCUUGUGUUUUUUCCCCAUACUGUACUUGCCAAUA